CCUACGGGAGGCAGCAGUAGGGAAUUUUCCGCAAUGGGCGAAAGCCUGACGGAGCAAUACCGCGUGAGGGAUGACUGCCUAUGGGUUGUAAACCUCUUUUUUCAGGGAGGAAUAAAUGACGUGUACCUGAAGAAUAAGCAUCGGCUAACUCCGUGCCAGCAGCCGCGGUAAGACGGAGGAUGGCAAGUGUUAUCCGGAAUCACUGGGCGUAAAGCGUCUGUAGGUGGCUCAACAAGUCAACUGUUAAAUCUUGAAGCUCAACUUCAAAAUCGCAGUCGAAACUAUUGAACUAGAGUAUAGUAGAGGUAAAGGGAAUUUCCAGUGGAGCGGUGAAAUGCGUAGAGAUUGGAAAGAACACCAAUGGCGAAGGCACUUUACUGGGCUAUUACUGACACUCAGAGACGAAAGCUAGGGUAGCAAAUGGGAUUAGAUACCCCAGUAGUCCUAGCCGUAAACAAUGGAUACUAGGUGUUGAACAGAUCGACCUGUGCAGUACUAAAGCUAACGCGUUAAGUAUCCCGCCUGGGAAGUAUGCACGCAAGUGUGAAACUCAAAGGAAUUGACGG
RNAcentral lists this ribosomal RNA (566 nucleotides) under uncultured bacterium. RNAcentral's name for it is "bacterial SSU rRNA". It matches the Rfam family "Bacterial small subunit ribosomal RNA", at positions 338 to 916 of the family's 1533-position model. The record is from RNAcentral.